This 253-nucleotide ribosomal RNA is filed under the name uncultured Rhizomicrobium sp. Its description in RNAcentral is "partial 16S ribosomal RNA". It matches the Rfam family "Bacterial small subunit ribosomal RNA", at positions 524 to 776 of the family's 1533-position model. Lineage: Bacteria; Pseudomonadati; Pseudomonadota; Alphaproteobacteria; Micropepsales; Micropepsaceae. The record is from RNAcentral.
UACGAAGGGGGCUAGCGUUGUUCGGAAUUACUGGGCGUAAAGCGUGCGCAGGCGGCUCAUCAAGUCAGGGGUGAAAGCCCAGAGCUCAACUCUGGAAUUGCCUUUGAAACUGGUGGGCUUGAGUACGGGAGAGGUGAGUGGAAUUCCGAGUGUAGAGGUGAAAUUCGUAGAUAUUCGGAAGAACACCAGUGGCGAAGGCGGCUCACUGGACCGUAACUGACGCUCAUGCACGACAGCGUGGGGAGCAAACAGG